RNAcentral lists this ribosomal RNA (648 nucleotides) under uncultured Porphyromonadaceae bacterium. Its description in RNAcentral is "bacterial SSU rRNA". It matches the Rfam family "Bacterial small subunit ribosomal RNA", at positions 72 to 715 of the family's 1533-position model. Lineage: Bacteria; Pseudomonadati; Bacteroidota; Bacteroidia; Bacteroidales; Porphyromonadaceae. The record is from RNAcentral.
UAAAGUAGCAAUACUUUGGUGGCGACCGGCGCACGGGUGAGUAACGCGUAUGCAACCUCUUUAUCAGAGGGGGAUAACCCGGCGAAAGUCGGACUAAUACCGCAUAAAACAGGGGCACCGCAUGGUGAUAUUUGUUAAAAAUUUAUUGCUGAUAGAUGGGCAUGCGUUCCAUUAGGUAGUUGGAGAGGUAACGGCUCACCAAGCCUACGAUGGAUAGGGGAACUGAGAGGUUGGUCCCCCACACUGGUACUGAGACACGGACCAGACUCCUACGGGAGGCAGCAGUGAGGAAUAUUGGUCAAUGGGCGAGAGCCUGAACCAGCCAAGUCGCGUGAAGGAAGAAGGAUCUAUGGUUCGUAAACUUCUUUUGCAGGGGAAUAAAGUGCAGGACGUGUCCUGUUUUGUAUGUACCCUGAGAAUAAGGAUCGGCUAACUCCGUGCCAGCAGCCGCGGUAAUACGGAGGAUCCGAGCGUUAUCCGGAUUUAUUGGGUUUAAAGGGUGCGUAGGUGGUUUAAUAAGUCAGCGGUGAAAGUUUGCAGCUUAACUGUAAAAAUGCCGUUGAAACUGUUAGACUUGAGUGUAAAUGAGGUAGGCGGAAUGCGUGGUGUAGCGGUGAAAUGCUUAGAUAUCACGAAGAACUCCGAUUG